GAUAUAACUGCUGUUAGUUCAAGUGAGAGAGAUGGGGUAGUACAGGAAAUAUGGACUGAUUCAGUGAAGUGAAGGGAAAGUGGUUUUGGUAGUAUAGGUAGUGUGAGCUUGCUGUUGGGUGGAAAAUGUGAAGGCUGUUGGGUUAAUUGGAGGGGACGGCGGCGUGAUUUUUUGUGAGCGGCUGCGGGAUAAAAACUGAAGUCGACGACUUAGUCGAGUGUGGGCUAAUCGAGCAGAGAAAUAGUGAAACAGACAGAGGGCUGUAGUUUCACGUGUAUGGGAGCUGAGGAGGAUGGCCGCUAACCGCGUGUGGUACAGGUCGUGGAGUCCGACUAUAGCAAAGAGGAGCGGGUUGUGCGUGUAGAGUCGGAAAGCUACGACAGUCUGGUACAGAGGCUGGAGCGAUCGAGCGAAAGGUUCGAACAUAUGUGAGGCUUAGAGGUGUGAAGGCUGGGAUCUGGGUCGGUACAGCAAGAGGGAGGUCAGCUGGAUCUGGGUGCUCGGGGUUUUGCCGGUGUUGGCGAGUAGAGGCGCCGGCUACUGGGUGAGGUGGAAGUCGGAUAGGGGAGAUCGGACAUGAAAGGGGCUGGAGGCUGCUCGACAUGUGGAAGAAUGGGAUUGUGGAGUUCGUCGUGAGGUAGAGGAUACGGGAGUGGGAGGUUCGGGUUAUUUGCAGCUGUGAGAAUCGAAGGUUGGGUGGUAUGUCCGGUUGGAGAUUCUCAUGUGUCGAAGAAGAGCCGAAGGCUCAGAUCCCUUAGAUAGACUUGUAGUCAAGAAGCUGCUUCAGAAUUUCUACAGUUACUUUUGGGCUCAGGCUACUACAAGAAGAGAAUCCGAGCUUCAGCCAGUUUACUGCUUCAAGAGACCUCAGUUUUGAUUUCGAGAGGAACUGGAUACUUGUUCACGAGCCACCUCAGGAGACUUUUGUUUCAGGUCCUAGAAGUGCAGGGUACCUGGUCUUUGGAAGGAGCAGAAUAAAGUUGACGGCUUCCUCUACAGGCGUAGUUUAGGAGACAUAUCGUAGUCCUCUGUGAAGGACAUUGUACUUUUCUUUUUCUUUCAGCUG
This is a long non-coding RNA of Dendrobium catenatum, 1066 nucleotides long. RefSeq lists it as uncharacterized. The record is from RefSeq and is a predicted model, not a curated record. Lineage: Eukaryota; Viridiplantae; Streptophyta; Magnoliopsida; Asparagales; Orchidaceae. The transcript has 5 exons.